GCCUUGGUGGUGAAAUGGUAGACACGCAGGACUUAAAAUCCUGUAGGCAGCAACGCCUGUGCGGGUUCGAGUCCCGCCCGAGGUA
RNAcentral lists this transfer RNA (85 nucleotides) under Saprospiraceae bacterium. RNAcentral's name for it is "tRNA-Leu". It matches the Rfam family "tRNA". Rfam says of the family: Transfer RNA (tRNA) molecules are approximately 80 nucleotides in length. Their secondary structure includes four short double-helical elements and three loops (D, anti-codon, and T loops). Lineage: Bacteria; Pseudomonadati; Bacteroidota; Saprospiria; Saprospirales; Saprospiraceae. The record is from RNAcentral.